CCUGACGGUAGUCGUAUGCUCGUCUCCGAGACUAAGCCAUGCAAGUCCAAGUACACGUCCUUGAACGACGGAAACUGCGAACGGCUCAUUAAAUCAGUUGCGAUCUACUCGGCGUUCCGCGCCGCCGGAUAACCGUAGUAAUUCUAGGGCUAAUACGUGCGAAGCGCCCGAAGCCGCGAGGCGACGGGCGUUCUCGCCGGAUGUAGGAACCGACCCGGGGACCGCCGGGGGCAACCCGGCGCCCCCGAGACGGGGCGAACCACGGUGAAAUGACGGAUCGUCGGCCCCGCGCCGGCGACUCGCCGAAUGAGUUUCUGACCUAUCAACUCGAGACGGCGGGGUAGAGGCCCGCCGCGGUAACGACGGGUAACGGGGAAUCAGGGUUCGAUUCCGGAGAGGGAGCCCGAGAAACGGCUACCACUUCCAAGGAAGGCAGCAGGCGCGCAACUUACCCUAAUCUCGAUUCGAGGAGGUAGUGA
RNAcentral lists this ribosomal RNA (479 nucleotides) under uncultured eukaryote. RNAcentral describes it as "bacterial SSU rRNA". It matches the Rfam family "Eukaryotic small subunit ribosomal RNA", at positions 13 to 470 of the family's 1831-position model. The record is from RNAcentral.